RNAcentral lists this ribosomal RNA (301 nucleotides) under uncultured bacterium. RNAcentral's name for it is "partial 16S ribosomal RNA". It matches the Rfam family "Bacterial small subunit ribosomal RNA", at positions 509 to 808 of the family's 1533-position model. The record is from RNAcentral.
CAGUAGCCGCGGGAAAACGGAGGGUGCAAGCGUUAAUCGGAAUUACUGGGCGUAAAGCGCACGCAGGCGGUCUGACAAGUCAGAUGUGAAAUCCCCGGGCUUAACCUGGGAACUGCAUUUGAAACUGUCAGGCUGGAGUCUUGUAGAGGGGGGUGGAAUUCCAGGUGUAGCGGUGAAAUGCGUAGAGAUCUGGAGGAAUACCGGUGGCGAAGGCGGCCCCCUGGACAAAGACUGACGCUCAGGUGCGAAAGCGUGGGGAGCAAACAGGAUUAGAUACCCGAGUAGUUGUCUCUUAUACACA